CUGGCAAGCCACGAUGAGGGCUGCUACCCUUCUCCACUCUCUAUAACAGAUUUUGCAUGGCUCCACCACUCUAUAGCAAGUCACGAUAACGGACACCACUCCACUCUCCGUAACAAACUUCACGUGACCCUGAACGACCCCUGAUGCCACUACUUUUCGUAACAAACUCCGGGCGGCUCUGAACAGCCCACUACCAGAUGGUUACAGACGUCGCUGUCAAUCAGUUACG
RNAcentral lists this long non-coding RNA (229 nucleotides) under Elaeis guineensis (African oil palm). RNAcentral describes it as "long non-coding RNA (EGUI_LNC021761)". Lineage: Eukaryota; Viridiplantae; Streptophyta; Magnoliopsida; Arecales; Arecaceae. The record is from RNAcentral.